RNAcentral lists this long non-coding RNA (531 nucleotides) under Gallus gallus (chicken). Its description in RNAcentral is "lncRNA (ENSGALG00010001086.1)". The record is from RNAcentral. Lineage: Eukaryota; Metazoa; Chordata; Aves; Galliformes; Phasianidae.
GUCUUGCUGGAAAGAGCUUCCUAAUAGCACGGCUGUGAGUGAAACCAGCACAGUAUGUUCAGUGUGGAGGUCCUCCUGAUUUCACAUGGAUCCAAACUGUCUAAAAAACUCCCUGCUUCAUACAAGAACAGAUAUGAUGGAUACUGAUUAUCUGCAUGAAUCCACAGGGAACAUAUCUGCUCAGAGGACACCGAAUGGUCCUGAAGUAGAACCUGAGAACCAAUUCAACCAGCGCUGAAAGCAGCCAUGGGACCCAAGGGAGGCAAGUGGGCCCUAGUUAUCACCAUGACCUUCAGGGUUUGUCCCCUUUUCAUACUUCAGAAGGGAGGAAAAAAGGAAUCAAAAUCCAGGAAAGAGGGAACCUAUCAGAAAAAAAAAAUGCAGAAGACCCUACUAAAACUAGAAGUAAUUACAGGGGGAGCGCUAAAAUGCUCAAGAAUAUUAUACGUAUUGUACUACAGUUGCUCUGUGUUUUAUGAAGAACAAAGCAUCAGUAAAGAAGGAACAAGCUCAGUCUUAACACAUUUAGAG